RNAcentral lists this ribosomal RNA (305 nucleotides) under uncultured bacterium. RNAcentral describes it as "bacterial SSU rRNA". It matches the Rfam family "Bacterial small subunit ribosomal RNA", at positions 334 to 650 of the family's 1533-position model. The record is from RNAcentral.
UUUUCCUACGGGGGGCAGCAGUGGGGGAUAUUGCACAAUGGGGGAAACCCUGAUGGUGCGACGCCGCGUGGGGGAAUGAAGGUCUUCGGAUUGUAAACCCCUGUCAUGUGGGAGCAAAUUAAAAAGAUAGUACCACAAGAGGAAGAGACGGCUAACUCUGUGCCAGCAGCCGCGGUAAUACAGAGGUCUCAAGCGUUGUUCGGAAUCACUGGGCGUAAAGCGUGCGUAGGCUGUUUCGUAAGUCGUGUGUGAAAGGCGCGGGCUCAACCCGCGGACGGCACAUGAUACUGCGAGACUAGAGUAAU